GACGAACGCUGGCGGCGUGCCUAAUACAUGCAAGUCGAACGAACGGACGAGAAGCUUGCUUCUCUGAUGUUUGCGGCGGACGGGUGAGUCACGUGUGUAUCACCUCCCUAUAAGACUGAUAUCACUUCGAGAAACCGUAUCUUAUACCGUAUAAUCUUUUGCACCGCGUUGUUCAAAAGUGAGAUACGGUCUUGCUGUCACUUAUCGAUGCAUCCGCGCUGCAUUAGCUAGUUGGUAAGGUAACGGCUUACCAAGGCAACGAUGCAUAGCCGACCUGAGAGGGGGAUAGGCCACACGGGAGCGGGGACAGGGUCCAGACGCCUGCGGGAGGCAGCAGUAGGGAAUGUUCGGCAAUGGGCGAAAGCCUGACGGAGCAACGCCGCGUGAGUGAUGAAGGUCUUCGGAUCGUAAAACUCUGUUAUUAGGGAAGAACAUAUGUGUAAGUAACUGUGCACAUCGUGACGGUAACUAAUCAGAAAGCCACGGCUAACUACGUG
RNAcentral lists this ribosomal RNA (497 nucleotides) under uncultured bacterium. RNAcentral describes it as "partial 16S ribosomal RNA". It matches the Rfam family "Bacterial small subunit ribosomal RNA", at positions 28 to 507 of the family's 1533-position model. The record is from RNAcentral.